AUUGAACGCUGGCGGCAUGCCUUACACAUGCAAGUCGAACGGUAACAGGUCUUCGGAUGCUGGCGAGUGGCGAACGGGUGAGUAAUACAUCGGAACGUGCCUAGUAGUGGGGGAUAACUACUCGAAAGAGUGGCUAAUACCGCAUGAGAUCUACGGAUGAAAGCAGGGGAUCGCAAGACCUUGUGCUACUAGAGCGGCCGAUGGCAGAUUAGGUCGUUGGUGGGAUAAAAGCUUACCAAGCCGACGAUCUGUAGCUGGUCUGAGAGGACGAUCAGCCACACUGGGACUGAGAAACGGCCCAGACUCCUACGGGAGGCAGCAGUGGGGAAUUUUGGACAAUGGGCGCAAGCCUGAUCCAGCAAUGCCGCGUGCAGGAUGAAGGCCUUCGGGUUGUAAACUGCUUUUGUACGGAACGAAAAGCCCCGGGUUAAUACCCUGGGGUCAUGACGGUACCGUAAGAAUAAGCACCGGCUAACUACGUGCCAGCCGCCGCGGUAA
This 498-nucleotide ribosomal RNA is filed under the name uncultured bacterium. RNAcentral describes it as "partial 16S ribosomal RNA". It matches the Rfam family "Bacterial small subunit ribosomal RNA", at positions 30 to 523 of the family's 1533-position model. The record is from RNAcentral.